GUGUGUGAUGUGUGGAGAGGUUUCAAAACUUCACCUCCAGUCAGUAACAAGAAUUUGAAAUCUUUCCUUAUUAGACACAGAGCCAAGGUCCACCAGAUGGCGCCAAAACUAUACGCGGCUCAGUAAGAUGCAUCCAGAGGCCAACACUGGAAAUCGGGAGUCCACUUCAACAGACCUGGGGAGAGUGAGCGAGUACGCCAUACAGGAACUCGGCUGAUGGCGGGAAAGACAGAGAAACGUGGACUGUGUGCCAGGUGGUCCACAUAUGAUGAGGAGGAGGGCCCUGGCUGAAGAUAAAGUCAGGAUAGAACGAGAGAAACAGUGAAGUUCUCUUCCAUACUGUACACUGACAACGCAAACCGCUGGCAUUUACAGUCAUCUGCGUCUGAAGUUUGUCUCAGAGAGUCCUAGCAUUUCCACCGGAAGCUCCCCAGAACAUCCAUUUCUUCCUGGAACCCUGUUCUCCAGACUUGGCACCAUCUCCGGCUCAUAGGCUAGUACCAUAUACGUGAUUAUAAAUGCCAAGAAUAUUGAUAAUUUGGAAAACAUACCAAUACAGUGAGAAAUAAAUCUGCCUAGGAUUUA
Long non-coding RNA from Alexandromys fortis (reed vole), 585 nucleotides. RefSeq lists it as uncharacterized. The record is from RefSeq and is a predicted model, not a curated record. The transcript has 4 exons. Lineage: Eukaryota; Metazoa; Chordata; Mammalia; Rodentia; Cricetidae.